UAUCUCUGUAGAGUCUGCAUAUCAAUAAGCGGAGGAAAAGAAACUAACUAGGAUUCCCUCAGUAACGGCGAGUGAAGCGGGAAGAGCUCAAAUUUGAAAUCUUCAAGGUUCUACCUUGACGAAUUGUAGUUUAAAGAAGUGUUUUCUGUUGGAGUUUUGGUAAAAGUUCUUUGGAAUAGGACAUCAUAGAGGGUGAGAAUCCCGUAUUUGACCAUUAUUUCCAGCUUUGUGAUACACUUUCAAAGAGUCGGAUUGUUUGGGAAUGCAGUCCAAAAUGGGUGGUAAAUUUCAUCUAAAGCUAAAUAUUGGCGAGAGACCGAUAGCGAACAAGUACCGUGAGGGAAAGAUGAAAAGAACUUUGAAAAGAGAGUUAAACAGUACGUGAAAUUGUCAAAAGGGAAGCGUUUGACACCAGUGUUGUUUUCUCGAAAAUCAAUUAAAAAAGGCAGGAUUUUGUAUUGUAAUUGACCUUUAUCAGCUUUACUGCUACUCUUUUCUUGUCUUUUUUUAAUGCACUUUUCGUUUAACAAGUCAACAUCAAUUUCUUUUGUUGUAAAAGAGUCAUUGGAAGGUGGCUUUCACUUCGGUGAAAGUGUUUAUAGCCUUUGGCUUCUGCAAUCGGAGAGAUUGAGGUCUGCAGCGUAGAUCCUUCGGGGCUAGAUACGUAGAUGCUAAGUUAUAGUUUUUUAUAGACAACUUGUUGACUAUAAUUAAUCAUGUAGCUUACUCGUUUGCGCUAUUUUACCUACGCUUAGGAUGUUGAUAGUCACAGCGUGUAC
RNAcentral lists this ribosomal RNA (779 nucleotides) under uncultured Neocallimastigales. RNAcentral describes it as "partial large subunit ribosomal RNA". It matches the Rfam family "Eukaryotic large subunit ribosomal RNA", at positions 24 to 634 of the family's 3401-position model. Lineage: Eukaryota; Fungi; Neocallimastigomycota; Neocallimastigomycetes; Neocallimastigales. The record is from RNAcentral.